This 866-nucleotide ribosomal RNA is filed under the name uncultured Brevibacterium sp. RNAcentral describes it as "bacterial SSU rRNA". It matches the Rfam family "Bacterial small subunit ribosomal RNA", at positions 8 to 880 of the family's 1533-position model. Lineage: Bacteria; Bacillati; Actinomycetota; Actinomycetes; Micrococcales; Brevibacteriaceae. The record is from RNAcentral.
AGAGUUUGAUUAUGGCUCAGGAUGAACGCUGGCGGCGUGCUUAACACAUGCAAGUCGAACGGAAAGGCCUUGUGCUUGCACAGGGUACUCGAGUGGCGAACGGGUGAGUAACACGUGGGUGAUCUGCCCUGCACUGUGGGAUAAGCCUGGGAAACUGGGUCUAAUACCAUAUAGGACCGCAUCUUGGAUGGUGUGGUGGAAAGCUUUUGCGGUGUGGGAUGAGCCUGCGGCCUAUCAGCUUGUUGGUGGGGUAAUGGCCUACCAAGGCGGCGACGGGUAUCCGGCCUGAGAGGGUGUACGGACACAUUGGGACUGAGAUACGGCCCAGACUCCUACGGGAGGCAGCAGUGGGGAAUAUUGCACAAUGGGCGCAAGCCUGAUGCAGCGACGCCGCGUGGGGGAUGAAGGCCUUCGGGUUGUAAGCUCCUUUCGCUAUCGACGAAGCCUUCGGGUGACGGUAGGUAGAUAAGAAGCACCGGCUAACUACGUGCCAGCAGCCGCGGUAAUACGUAGGGUGCAAGCGUUGUCCGGAAUUACUGGGCGUAAAGAGCUCGUAGGUGGUUUGUCGCGUCGUCUGUGAAAUCCCGGGGCUUAACUUCGGGCGUGCAGGCGAUACGGGCAUAACUUGAGUGCUGUAGGGGAGACUGGAAUUCCUGGUGUAGCGGUGAAAUGCGCAGAUAUCAGGAGGAACACCGAUGGCGAAGGCAGGUCUCUGGGCAGUUACUGACGCUGAGGAGCGAAAGCAUGGGUAGCGAACAGGAUUAGAUACCCUGGUAGUCCAUGCCGUAAACGGUGGGCGCUAGGUGUAGGGGGCUUCCACGUCUUCUGUGCCGUAAGCUAACGCAUUAAGCGUCCCGCCUGGGGAG